GCAAUGCGCGAAAGCGUGACGGGGCUACCCCGAGUGCUAUCCGCUGAGGAUAGCUUUUCUUUGGUUUAACGAUCCUGAGGAAUAAGGGGAGGGCAAGCCUGGUGUCAGCCGCCGCGGUAAUACCAGCUCCUCGAGUGGUGGGGACUAUUAUUUGGCCUAAAGCGUUCGUAGCCUGUUCAGCAAGUCCUCCGUUAAAUCCAACGAUCCAAUCGUUGGGCCGCGGGGGAUACUGCAGGACUAGGGGGCGGAAGAAGCCGACGGUACUCCUAGGGUAGGGGUGAAAUCCUAUAAUCCUAGGCGGACCACCAGUGGCGAAGGCGGUCGGCUGGAACGCGCCCGACGGUGAGGGACGAAAGCUGGGGGAGCGAUCCGGAUUAGAUACCCGGGUAGUCCCAGCUGUAAACGAUGCAGGCUAGGUGUUAGCAUGACUACGAGUUAUGUUAGUGCCGAAGGGAAGCUGUUAAGCCUGCCGCCUGGGAAGUACGGUCGCAAGACUGAAACUUAAAGGAAUUGGCGGGGGAGCNNCNCAAGGGGUGAAGCUUGCGGUUUAA
RNAcentral lists this ribosomal RNA (551 nucleotides) under uncultured archaeon. Its description in RNAcentral is "bacterial SSU rRNA". It matches the Rfam family "Archaeal small subunit ribosomal RNA", at positions 352 to 905 of the family's 1478-position model. The record is from RNAcentral.